Molecule: ribosomal RNA, 1359 nt
Filed under: uncultured bacterium
Lineage: Bacteria
Description: bacterial SSU rRNA
Rfam family: Bacterial small subunit ribosomal RNA
Source: RNAcentral
GAUGAACGCUAGCUACAGGCUUAACACAUGCAAGUCGAGGGGCAGCAUUUCAGUUUGCUUGCAAACUGGAGAUGGCGACCGGCGCACGGGUGAGUAACACGUAUCCAACCUGCCGAUAACUCGGGGAUAGCCUUUCGAAAGAAAGAUUAAUACCCGAUGGUAUAAUCAGACCGCAUGGUCUUGUUAUUAAAGAAUUUCGGUUAUCGAUGGGGAUGCGUUCCAUUAGGCAGUUGGUGAGGUAACGGCUCACCAAACCUUCGAUGGAUAGGGGUUCUGAGAGGAAGGUCCCCCACAUUGGAACUGAGACACGGUCCAAACUCCUACGGGAGGCAGCAGUGAGGAAUAUUGGUCAAUGGGCGCAGGCCUGAACCAGCCAAGUAGCGUGAAGGAUGACUGCCCUAUGGGUUGUAAACUUCUUUUAUAUGGGAAUAAAGUUUUCCACGUGUGGAAUUUUGUAUGUACCAUAUGAAUAAGGAUCGGCUAACUCCGUGCCAGCAGCCGCGGUAAUACGGAGGAUCCGAGCGUUAUCCGGAUUUAUUGGGUUUAAAGGGAGCGUAGGUGGACAGUUAAGUCAGUUGUGAAAGUUUGCGGCUCAACCGUAAAAUUGCAGUUGAUACUGGCUGUCUUGAGUACAGUAGAGGUGGGCGGAAUUCGCGGUGUAGCGGUGAAAUGCUUAGAUAUCACGAAGAACUCCGAUUGCGAAGGCAGCUCACUGGACUGCAACUGACACUGAUGCUCGAAAGUGUGGGUAUCAAACAGGAUUAGAUACCCUGGUAGUCCACACAGUAAACGAUGAAUACUCGCUGUUUGCGAUAUACAGUAAGCGGCCAAGCGAAAGCAUUAAGUAUUCCACCUGGGGAGUACGCCGGCAACGGUGAAACUCAAAGGAAUUGACGGGGGCCCGCACAAGCGGAGGAACAUGUGGUUUAAUUCGAUGAUACGCGAGGAACCUUACCCGGGCUUAAAUUGCAUUUGAAUAUAUUGGAAACAGUAUAGCCGUAAGGCAAAUGUGAAGGUGCUGCAUGGUUGUCGUCAGCUCGUGCCGUGAGGUGUCGGCUUAAGUGCCAUAACGAGCGCAACCCUUAUCUUUAGUUACUAACAGGUCAUGCUGAGGACUCUAGAGAGACUGCCGUCGUAAGAUGUGAGGAAGGUGGGGAUGACGUCAAAUCAGCACGGCCCUUACGUCCGGGGCUACACACGUGUUACAAUGGGGGGUACAGAAGGCAGCUACCUGGUGACAGGAUGCUAAUCCCAAAAGCCUCUCUCAGUUCGGAUCGAAGUCUGCAACCCGACUUCGUGAAGCUGGAUUCGCUAGUAAUCGCGCAUCAGCCAUGGCGCGGUGAAUACGUUCCCGGGCCU